This 253-nucleotide ribosomal RNA is filed under the name uncultured bacterium. RNAcentral describes it as "partial 16S ribosomal RNA". It matches the Rfam family "Bacterial small subunit ribosomal RNA", at positions 524 to 776 of the family's 1533-position model. The record is from RNAcentral.
UACGAAGGGUGCAAGCGUUAAUCGGAAUUACUGGGCGUAAAGCGUGCGUAGGCGGUGAGUUAAGUCUGUCGUGAAAUCCCCGGGCUCAACCUGGGAAUGGCGAUGGAUACUGGCUCGCUAGGGUGUGAUAGAGGAUGGUGGAAUUCCCGGUGUAGCGGUGAAAUGCGUAGAGAUCGGGAGGAACACCAGUGGCGAAGGCGGCUACCUGGACCAGCACUGACACUGAGGCACGAAAGCGUGGGGAGCAAACAGG